This 333-nucleotide ribosomal RNA is filed under the name uncultured eukaryote. Its description in RNAcentral is "partial 18S ribosomal RNA". It matches the Rfam family "Eukaryotic small subunit ribosomal RNA", at positions 1470 to 1796 of the family's 1831-position model. The record is from RNAcentral.
CCCUUAGAUGUUCUGGGCCGCACGCGCGCUACACUGUUCGACGCAGCGAGUCUUAACCUUGACCGAAAGGUUUGGGUAAUCUUCAGCAAAGUCGAACGUGAUGGGGAUCGAUCAUUGCAAUUAUUGAUCGUGAACGAGGAAUUCCUAGUAAGUGCAAGUCAUCAGCUUGCGCUGAUUACGUCCCUGCCCUUUGUACACACCGCCCGUCGCUACUACCGAUUGAAUGGUUUAGUGAGAUCUUCGGAUUGGCGCCUACGCGGCUUCUCUGAGGCCACGCUGGAUGCCGAAAAGUUGCUCAAACUGUAUCAUUUAGAGGAAGUAAAAGUCGUAACA